CGGCCGCCUGCUCCGCAAUGGGAGCCGCCGCCGUCGCCGCCGUGUAGUUUUCGUGCUCCUCCUUUUCCUCCUCCUCUUUCUCCUCCUCCUCAGGGCCCCAGUCAGGCCGAUCCGCUCCGCUCACGGAAGGAAAACCGAGAUAUAACUUGCUGCCUGUGUGGAGUCACAUGGUGAGUUUGAAGAUCAAAAUUAGAUCCAAGAAUUUCUGAAUCCCAGGUUUCACGUUUCAAUAUUUGGCUUUACUCAAAGUGAGUCAUAAAAUGACUGAUAUCAUGUGUUAGUACUUGGAUGACGAUUUACAGAAAGUCAACUCUUCAACUUGAUUGGCGACAACCCUUUUCAGCCAAAAAUAAUUCAAAAAUGGCAGAACUCUUUAUGGAAUGUGAGGAAGAAGAGUUGGAACCAUGGCAGAAGAAAGUAAAAGAGGUUGAUGAUGAUGAUGAUGAUGAGCCUAUCUUUGUUGGAGAGAUAUCAAGUUCAAAACCCGCAAUUUCAAAUAUUUUGAAUAGAGUAAACCCCAGCUCAUAUUCGAGAGGAAUAAAGAAUGGUGCACUCAGCCGAGGUAUUACUGCUGCAUUCAAGCCUACAAGUCAACACUACACGAACCCAACAUCAAAUCCAAUGGCUGCCUCGCCAGUAAAUUUUCAUCCUGAAUCUAGAUCUUCAGAUAGUUCUGUUAUUGUUCAGCCUUUGUCUAAACCUGGUUAUGUAACGAACUCAUCACGAGUUGUUUCUAGUAAUUCCUCAGAGUUACUGUUUGACUUGACCCAGGAUACAGGAUUACCACAUUACCAAGGAGGACCAUCACUUUCUAUAGCAGGUAUGAAUGAAAGUUCAUUUUUAUCAAAACGUCCUUCUACUUCUGAAGUAAACAGUGUUAAUCCGAAAAAGUCUAAACCCAGUGAAGGUGUUUCUGGAACAAAUUCCUCAGCUGUAUUUUCUUCAGUUAAAUCUCUUUCAGUGACAUCUCCCCAGGCUAUGCCAUCAAAAGGUACAAACACCUCAUCAAAUCAAUCUAAAAAUGGAACACCUUUUCCAAGAGCUUGUCCAAAGUGCAAUAUCCAUUUUAAUCUUUUGGAUCCUUUGAAAAAUCACAUGAAGUACUGUUGUCCAGACAUGAUAAAUAACUUUUUGGGACUGGCUAAAACAGAAUUUUCAAGUACAGCAAAUAAAAGUAAGACUAUUGAUUCAGAAAAAGGAAAACUGAUCAUGUUAGUUAAUGACUUUUAUUAUGGAAAACAUGAAGGAGAUGUCCAGGAAGAACAGAAGACUUACACAACCUUUAAAUGCUUCAGUUGCUUGAAAAUUCUUAAAAAUAAUAUUAGGUUUAUGAACCACAUGAAACAUCAUUUGGAACUUGAGAAGCAGAGCAGUGAAAGCUGGGAAAACCACACCACCUGCCAGCACUGCUAUCGUCAGUUUCCCACACCAUUUCAACUGCAGUGUCACAUUGAAAGUACACACACACCACAUGAAUUUUCUACCAUUUGCAAAAUAUGUGAAUUAUCGUUUGAAACAGAGCAUAUUCUUUUACAACAUAUGAAGGACAAUCAUAAACCUGGUGAAAUGCCAUAUAUUUGCCAGGUUUGCAAUUAUAGAUCAUCAUCAUUUUCUGAUGUAGAAACUCAUUUUAGAACAUCCCAUGAAAACACUAAGAACUUGCUAUGUCCGUUUUGCCUCAAAGUUAUUAAAAUUGCAACACCCUAUAUGCAUCAUUAUAUGAAGCAUCAGAAAAAAGGAAUACAUCGUUGUACAAAAUGCAGACUACAGUUUUUAACAUGCAAAGAGAAAAUGGAUCACAAGACUCAGCAUCAUCGGACAUUUAUAAAACCUAAGCAACUAGAAGGAUUGCCUCCUGGAACAAAAGUUACUAUUCGAGCUUCAGUUGGACCUCUUCAAUCAGGAUCCUCAACUACACCUACCAUUAGUGCAAGCACUUCUACCCUUCAGCUCUCACCUCCAAGGACUAAAAAUAUAACUGCUAAAAAUCCCACAAAAUCUAACACAAGUAAACCUAAUAUAACUAAAUCCAUUGCAAGUAAACCUAAUGCAAGUAAGCCUAAUGGGAGUAAAUCUAAAUACAAAUCGAAAAUAUCUAAUAUGCAAAAGAAACAAAGCACAUUGGCUAGUAGCAAUAAAAAAAGUAAAGUCAAUACAGCAUUGAGGAAUUUAAGGUAUCGUCGGGGAGUUCACAAGUGCAUUGAGUGUUGUUCUGAGAUAAAAGAUUUUGCAAACCACUUUCCUACAUAUGUCCACUGUAGUUUUUGCAGAUACAACACUAGCUGUAGCAAAGCCUAUGUGAAUCAUAUGAUGAGCUUUCAUAGUAAUCGUCCAAGUAAAAGGUUUUGUAUCUUUAAGAAGUAUUCAGAAGAUCUCAGGGGCAUUACUCUAGUGUGCCUUAAUUGUGAUUUCCUAACUGAUGUUUCUGGCUUAGAUAAUAUGGCUACACACUUAAGUCAACAUGAAACUCAUACUUGUCAAGUUGUAAUAGAGAAAGUUUCUGUUUGUAUCCCAACUUCUGAACAUCUUUCUGAAUGGAGAAGCAGCCCAGAGAUUUCAAAAAAUGUCCAGGGUACACCUGGACAGUGUCCCCCUUCGAUGGACACAACUGAUGCCUGUUCUCUCUUUCCAAGGAAUGUGACUAAUUUGACUGUGGGACCUGCUCUAGGUUGUGGUCUCAGGAAAUCAGAUCUUGGGGAGACUCCCUUCCUUCAUGGCUGGCCUUCCAUAAGGCUGAUGCUGAUAUAGCCAGAGAUGGUUUCUCAAGUCCCACCAAAUUGAGCACAGCUUCCCACUGGGGGCUUUGGCUCUUGAUCUUAAGCUUGUGGGUCACUUCUGGCCAAGAAAAUCAAAUCUGUGCUUCAACAUUCCAGUUGAAGUUUAGUCAUUUUGGCUGCUGCCCUUUAAUCUUCCUCUAGCAUGAAUGCAUCCAAGGAAUACAAAAGCUCUGGUUAUUAGGAAAUGGUUAUUUUUCAUGUCCUUGGAACAACAGGUCUCUACAAUUGUUCCAGAAUUUCACUUAUUUUUACUGUUAUUUAAAAUAUAUUACCCAGGAGUAACUUUAUAGUUUUUCAACAUCAAUUAUCGAUUUAAAAAAUUUUUUAAAAUUUAGUUUAAUUUUGAUUGGUUGGUUUUAUGUUCUCCAAAUUUAUUAAUGUCUAUUUUAUGAUGUCUAUUUUUAUAUUCUUUUCUUUAAAACUGUUGUUUAGUGUUUGCUUUGUUUUGUUAAGAAUCCAGGAUAUUCCCUAGAAUUCUCUACGGAUUUCCAAUAGCUGCUUAUUUAUAGCGUUUUAAUUUGGCUGUUGUUCAGACCAUUAGACAUUAUUAUAUCCUUUCUUAUUUCAGGAUUAUUAUUAUUAAUAUUGUCUUAAUAAUUGUAAGUUCUAAGGAGUAAAGAACUGACAAAACCUCUUGCAGACCUUAAAACAAGUUUUAAAGUUAUAUAUUUGUACAUCUGAUACAUAAUGUCUACUUAGCCAUUAAUAGUUCCUUUGGGUAAUGGUAACACUAAAAAAUACGGGGGGGGGGGGGCCAAUAAUGCACUUGUUUCUAUGAUAUAUAAAAUAUAUUUCCACAUAUAUAUAUAUUUUAAAAAGUUGACAUUUGUUUAUUUUAGUUACAUUGACUAUAGCUCUAAUGAACAGUUUUGAUGCUAUUAUUUUCUUUUAAUAAAAAUUCGAUUGUUUAAGUGCCUCAGAAAUUGUUUUCUAAUAAAAAAUUUCAUAUGAAAGCUGUAGAUUUAAUCAUCUAAAUAGAAGCAUUGCCUUUAUUGUUUCAUGGAAGCCCUAUCAUGUGGCCUGCACACUGAGAGCUGUAUCUACUUAGUACACCUUGGAUUUUUUUCUCUGGCACAAUUGAAAGGUCACUGUUUAUACUGCACCAAUUUAUUGAAUUUUAAUGACGCAAAAUACUUUUUGUGAUCUUAGUUACCAUAAGGGUUAGGAAGGCUCUGAAAGUAUGACUUAAUCAUGUUUUUUUAAUGUAAAAUCAGAACUUGUUCAGUUUUACUUUCAAACAGAUUUAAAGCCAAUUUAGAUGACUACUUAUUAUGUAAUGUGCUUCUUGCAAUUAAUAAUCAAAAAAUUUGAACCCAUAGUUUUAAAUUUCCAAACUAAUUACUACUAUAAAUGAAUAAUUUUUUGAAAGCUCUGAAAGUAUCUUGUCUCUCAGUAGGUGGACUUGGUGUUAUUCUAGUCUUUAUUUCCUUAUCUGCUCUAGGAAGUUAUGUCAUUCACCCUUUUUCUACCCGGUUUUUUAAACAAUUUAAAAAUUUUGCCCAGAAACAACUUCUGUACAUUUUCAACAUAAGUUCCUUUUUCAUUUACAGACAUUUGCUCUACCUUGGCUAUAAUUUAAAAAAUAUGAGAAGUUGUAUUCUUGAUAUAACGAUGUAGGAGUACUGCUUUGUGUUCUUCCAUAGGACUCUGUUUUAUAGUAUUAUCAAAUUUAUUUUCUUAAAGUUUUAACUCUUAAAGUUCUAUCACCUCUAACUUCCUUUAAAAAAAUAGUUUAAAUAAAACACCUAAGGCAGUUAAUACAAAACUUGUUUAUUAUAGGCAGUUGGUCGAAUUUUAAUUUUGUGCUAAUGAGUUUUAGCUUAAGUCUAAUCCCUCCUUGUCAUAAAGUUAUUCUAAAUAGUUUAUUCGCCUGAUCAGAAAUGGCCAUUUCAUGCAUGUGUGCUUUUGGUUACCACUGAAUAAAAAGUGAGAUUGGUGCAGUUUAAGUCCAUUGCUAUUCUGAGAAAAAAUGACUGCUAAACUACAGAGACUUGGAUUCUUGCCCUAUUUUGGCACAACACCUCACCUCUUUGGGCCUCAUUUGUUUAUCAGCUAGUAUUUCUUGAACAUCUACUUUGUGCUAGAAAAAUGGACUGAAAUCUUUGCCCUCACAGAACAAGCAUUUUAGUGGUAAAAAAAUAGACAAUAUAAAGUCAAUAAAAUAUAUAGUAUGUUAGAUAGUGGUCAAUAGUAUGGAGAAAAAUAAAAUAGGGAAGGGGAAUAAGAAGUACUGGGUGGGAGUUUGGAGGUUGCCAUUUAAAAUUUGAUAGCCAGGGAAGGUCUUACAGAGAGAUGACAUUUGAGUAAAGACCUCAAGGAAGAACUGCAUGGAGACUGGUUUGGCUGCAAAGAAGUGAUAAAGAGGGAGAAUAGUAGGAGUUGGGGCCUGCAAGGUAAUGUGGGCCCUUAUGGACCAUUGUGAGGAAUUUGCCUUUUAUUAUGAGAUAAGUAGCUAUUAGAGCAUUUUGAAUAGAGGAGUAUUUUAUACCCCAAUAAAAAUCACAGUCAGCAAAAACCUUUAAGUACAGAAGAGUGUCUGUAUUACCCUAGCUGCUGUCUUUGGAAUAAAUUGUAGAAGACCAAGGACAAAAUCAGGGAGAUUAAUUAAGAGGUCAUUGUAAUAAUCCAGGUGUGAGAUGGUGGGGAUUUAGGCUAGGCUGCUAGCAGUUUAGGUGAUAAGAGGUUUGAUUGGGGACAUAUUUUGAAUUCGUUGAUGAUUAAGAUGUGAAGUGUAGAAGAAAAGUUUUGAGGAUGGUUCCAGUUAUUAGUGUGAGCAACUGGAAAGAUGGCGUUGAUAUUAACUGAGAUAGGGAAGACUAGAAGUAAUAGAUUUGAGAGGGAAGAUGAUGAGUUUGGUUUGGGGCAUAUUUUAGUUUGAGAUAUCUAUUAGAUAUCCAAGUUGAGAUGUCAUAAUCAUUCAUCUGUAUGAAUUUAGUGGGGUGUUCUAGGCUGUAAAUAUCAUUUAACAUUUUUAAAUGUCAUGGGAAUAAAUACAAGUAAAACUGGGGAAAACAAUAAGAUUGGUGUAUGCAUCACUGUCAACAUCCUGGUUAUGCUUUUGUGUUAUCAUUUUGUACUAUUAUUUUGUAUUAUAAGAUGUUAUCACUGGGGAAACUGGACAAAGGGAAUCUCUCUGUGUUAUUUCUUAUAACUGCAUGCGAAUAUACAAUUAUACCAAAAUUUAAGAUUCAAUGAAAAGAAGAAAAAAAAAAAAAAAAAGAUUCAAUGAAAAAAGUCAUGGGAUCACCAAGGGAUAGUAGAGAGAAAGAGAAAAGGCAAGGUCCACAGACUGAGCUCUGGGGAAUCUGAUAGUAAAACGUCAGGGAGAUGAAAAGGAAUUGGCAAAGGAAACUGAGGAGAGGCCAGUGGUGUAGGAGUGGCAGUGUUCUUCGAGCCUCAGUUAUCUUGUUUGUAAAAUGUAAAUGCUGACUUGUCCUAGAGUUCUGAGAUUCUGUUAUUCAAUAUUGGUUAUACUUAUAUGUCAUAAUUUGUUCUUAUGACAAGAUAAGUUUAGAAUGCCACAUAUCCUUAUCCCCAGUAGCAGAAACAGGGACUCUUUGACCUUGAGAAAAUCAAAUGUUCACAUUAUUCCUCAGCACGUUUAACUCUUUCAUAUACUCUUUUAAAAGUAGUUCUCUUUCACUUCUAUUAAAGAAGGUAACUUUGUCAGUUUUUCCCAAGUUCUGUACUGUAGAACUAAUGUCCAUAAUUUAUAAGUUGGGGGGGGGAGUUUCCAUGGCCAAAUAAAUUUAGGCAAUGCAAGUUAAAGUUAAACUGAUUGUUUGAUAUGGGCUUUUUCAUGCUGUAUGCGGCUUGUGAAUGUCUAAGAGAAUAUUUAUUUGACCUUAGAAUUUUUUUCUUUGAAUACGUAUUAACUUCUUAUCUCCGUGGAAUAACGUGUAGAAUACUGAUCUGGAGUAAUCCUUCUUCAGAUUUUAUGAACUGGGAAAUAAAAAAGUAUUGAUAGUUGUGUAGGGUGUUGCCUAAGAUGGAUUCCUAGACAUUUCAUUUAUGUUUAUGAAUCAUUUGUAAGAUAGAGUUUGUAACUAGAUGCUAGCAAUGUAAACUUUCAUAUUUUUAGAAAUAUCAGAAAAAUUAUAUCCUCAUUAUUAUGUUUGUGAAAAUCUAAUAAAUGCAUAACAGAGGCAGACCAGUUAUUAGUUUAUUUUGCCUCUGAUUAUAGCAGCAAGGGAUUUUUUUUGUUGGAGAGUAUGGUUACUUUACAUGAUUUCACACUAAGAAGCUUAAGAAUCUCAUUAUUUCUAGCUUCUCUCUGUAACUCUUUAUGCUUAGCUCAUCAAUCUACCCACUUACCUACUUUUCUUGAGACUAUUUUCAGCCUUUUAUUAUCUGUUAAGGAGUUUCUUAUAUAGUAAAGUUUUACUUCCUACUUAAACAGCUUCCUGAGAACUUCUUUGAUACUAAGAUUAGGUCAUUUGAUAGCCAGCUUCAUUUUAAACCCCCUCAGACCCUUAAAGGUACAGUGUGGUAUAUUGGUUAAAGAGCAUAGGCUAUGCAGUUGAUUGCCUAGUUUGGAGUUCCUACCCUGCUGUUUACUAGAACAUGUGUGACUUUGGGUUGGUUACAGACUUCUGUGCUUCAUUCAUGUUUUGUAAAAUGCAUACAAACAACAGUACCUGUUCAUAAUGUGUAGAGGGAAUUAAAUGAAUUAGUAUAUGUAUAUAGUACUUAGAAAGUGGUGCAUAGGAGGCACUAUAUAACUGUAAAGUUAUUGUUACUUUUAUUACUUUUCAUAAUUUUACUUCUGCCUGCAGUUUAUUCAGGUAGAAUUAUCCUAAUCUUCAGCCUGCUUUUCAUUCUAACCUUCUCAUAACCAUUUUCACAAAUCAUGUAUGUUAACUUUCUUUUCCUAACCCAGUAAAUCUUUCUUAAGAGCCGAUCAUUUGAAGCACGUAUAAGUCAUAAAAUUAGGUUUUUGAUGUCUAAAGCUCAAUAACUUGUAUUUUUAGGGAAUAGAUAUGAAUGUUUCUAGGUUCAUUUUAGUCAUCCCUGUCUUUAAAAAUAGUAUAAAUAGUAUUUUUCUCUAAAUUAUAUUGCCUUAUACUGACCACACCAUGGUUUGUCUCAUACUUUCAGCCCACCUCUCUGAUUUUGAGAUCCUUCUACAGCCUCACUCUAGUCAUUUUGGUAUUUGCCCACCUGGAAGAGCUUAUCUUCCUCUACAAAAUGGAGAAGCUGCUGUGCAUCUCUUUUUCUAUAUCAUUUAUUGAAAUGUGGGAACUUACUGUUUUUAAUCCUCCACACAGAAAAGUAUCUUUAUCCUUACUUCUGUGUAGUGUUGGGAAAGGAGUACAGCUUUUAAAUAAGGCAGUCAUAGGUGUAAAUCCUGGCUGUAUAUCUAACCAGCUCUGUAGCCUUGUGAAAAUUACUUCACCUUGUCUUCCUCAUUAGUGAAAGGUAUGUAAUAAUUCUUUGCAAGGUGGCUAUAAGAAAUAGAGAUAAUCUGUGGACAUUAAAUUAUGAAUUUAAAUAAUUCAAAUUACUUAAAUAAUUAAUUAAAAUUAUUUGGCACUGGCCUGACAAAAAAGUAAUCAUUCAAUAAACGCCAGUUGUUGGUGCCAUAGCUGCUGUUGCUGAUAUUACUACUACUGACUACUGCUGUUCCUGCUGCUGCUCCAGCUAUUAUUGCUGUUAGUACUACUAUUACUGAUACUACUUCCAGGAGACCCUGGGAACUACGUAUCAGUGGGUUCUUCUCAUCAUUGAGAGUUUUAGUGGCAAUCCAUCUGUACUGUAGUUAUUUGUAAUUUUAGCUCAUAGUUCACAGGUCUUGGAGUAUAUUCCUCCAAACUGCUGGAUGGAUGGCAUUUUAUUACAGUGUUUAAUUGUACCUCAUAUAAUUCUCAAAUGUCAGAAUUUGAUUGUAGUUCUGACUUUUCCUGUCUAAAGACUAUGAAGCAGCACCCUUGUUAAAAACUGGUACAUAAUCCUCUCUGCUUAGAAGGAAAACUGUUUUUUUUCUUUUGAGCUUACAGAAUUUCUUUUUUAAAGAAAACCUUUUAUUAAUUAUUUCCAGGCAUUCAUUUUCAGUCCUCUUGGCUAUUUAUCUAAUACUACUAAGUUUAUGAAACUGUGUAAUUGUGCUAGUUAGCAAUAGUAAAGUGGCUCUUUCUUUUGUAGACCUUUGAAGUGAUUUUUUUAAAUCUACUUUUCUCAGAUGUUAGAUUGUAACUCGAUCAUGAAAUUGCUCUUUUCUCUGUUUCUCCCUUCUUCCAUUUUCUUCUGUAUAUCUAUCUGGAUAGAUUAAUUAUUACAUAGAAUGGAAGUAAAGUUUUAAAUUUUGCAAGGUUUGUUUCCUUGACAAAAAGUUGAGAGUAGAUAUUUCCCUCUAGCAAUCUUCAGAGCAUAAGAAUCCAUAGUAAAUCCAUAAAACUCAAGCUUGGAAAACUUGGCUACUCAGCCAAAGUUGUCUAUUUAUUGACUGAAUCAAAUGUCCUAAAAGCCACAGUUUGAAGUGAUUUUAAAAGUUGAUUUAAUUCUCUCAAUGACUUCCAAUUUUAUUCUAAGCAAAGUAUAAUGUAAGGGCACUGACUGGAGUCAAAAUAUCAGAGUUCAAAACCCAGCUCUCUCACUUUAUGUUCAAGUUAUUCCGUUUAUUCAUUUGUAAAUAAUCUUUACAUAGUUGUUUUGAAGAUUUAAAAGAGGUGUAAAAUGUAUUUUACAGAUAAAAAUGUGUUUUAUAUUUUAUUAAAUAUCCCUAAUUUAAAGAGUGCUAGGGAAAAAAUGAAAGUGUAAAACUGACUUUCCUUGGAGCUGUGAGUUCCUCUCUUGUAUUUCUGGCUGCUGAACUUUAUACUUAGCACCAGUGGUAAUUACAUGGCUCUUUCAUAGUGUAAUAUAAAUAACCCUUCUACAUACUCAUUGACACCAAACAUUGAUUCCCUGCCUUCUGUGCCACAGGGUAAUUACACAAUAGGCAGUCAGAAAUGGAGACAUUUAUCCACAUUUUCACAGGGCCACACAGUAAACUGAUUUCAUAAUUAGUUAAACCCCUAACACCAGGUAUAUAUUACAUUAUGUGGUUUUUGUGCAGUGCUAUACCAGAAGAGAAUCUGGACUUGUUCCAAAGAGAAAUACCACUUUAUUAUACCACUCUCAACUAAACCAGUAAGUCGUUAAUUAGCUUUCAUAAAUGCAAGCAGAGAGUAAGCUCUUUUAGGAGUAUAAUGGCAACCUUUUUAAAAUAAGUUUUAUAUUUGAAAAUAAUAUUUCUGUUAAAAUGUUUACUUCUACUAACUCUAUUUCCAUUGAAGAAUAUGUAAAGAAUUGUUCCAUUAUUUUCCUGUGAAAUUCUGAACUUAUUUAGAGGAAUUAUUGGCUCUGGUCAUAAUCCAAGUUAUUAGAGUCUUAAAUGUUCAGAAUGGUUGGAGGGUCUUCAUUUCAUAUAUUUGGUUUAGCAGGAAAAAAAAAACUGAUCUCAUCUAUGAGAUACACAGAAUUUAUUUUGGGUUUGUUUCUUUCUCUAAACUUUUGAAAUGUAACUGGGAUUGGAGAUAAUGGGGGAUCAUGCCCUUAGAUUCUCUUAUCCUACCAUGGACAUUACUAUCUCAUUACUGUCUCAAACCAAAUCUUUAGUAACCGUAAAAUAGUUUUUCCUUUACAAAGUGGAUGCAAUAUAUUUGCCCCUGGUAUGUAAUUGCAAGUUAGUAAGUAGGAGCUGUGCAUCAAAAUACAGUGGUUUCUGGCAUUUUGGACUUCUGCCUUUGAUAGCUGGUAAGCAGGAAAUACUGGGAGAACCAUUGAAAGGGAAAUGUAAAUGAAACUUUACUGUAGUCCUUCAUUUAGGGCAAACUCUACCAACUUCUACCAGUGUUUCUGAGGUUACUACCAUUUUUUCAGUCUCCUGAUUCUGAGGGUAGUUUGCAUAUACAUUAUAAAUUAAGUAUUCAGGGUUUAAUUCAAUAUUGCCAGCAAAAUAAAAAAACAAAAUAACAAAAUUAUAGCCUAAGUCUGGUAUUAGAAUCUUCUGCCUCUACUGAUGGUCUUAUUUUUUGCUUCAUAUUUUACACAUAAAUAUUUUGUUUCUCUUGAUUCUUUGUAUUUACCUAGUUCUUUCCUCUGUUCAUCUAGAAUGAUUUUUUACUCUGUCUUCCCUGAUGACCGAAUUAUAUUCGUGUCUUCAGAAGUGAGUAGAUCAUUUCCUGCUAGAGUAAAUUGAUCAACAAUCAAAUAUCUUAAUUUCAGGAUGGGGGAAGUAUGGCAGAAAAAUCUCAAAACAUUGAAAAUAUUUAGGUAAAAAGCUUAAGAGCCUGUGUGGCACACUCAGGUAAAUUCUAGACAGUAAGAUUGGUUCCUGACUCUACCCAUGGCAGUAAUAAUAGCUAACAUUUAUUGAGUACAUACACUAAAUGUUUUACAUUUAUUCACUCAUUUAAUUCUCACAAACGAAUGAGAUAUGCACUGUUCUUGUCCCAAUUUUAUGGAUGAGACAGCUAAGAUACAGAUAAGUCAUUUGCCGAAGGUCACAUAGCUGUUAAAAGCCUCAAUUUAAAUUAUGAUAGUCUGUCUUCAGAGGCUAAACUGAUAAGUACUAUGUCUCUUGCUUCCUUCGUUGUGUUUGUGGUUCCAAAUGUACUUUCUUGCCUAGUUUACUAUCCAUCAGUAGCUGGAUGGGCCUAAGCGUCAGUGUGAAGGCCCUUUGUUUCCCCAGAAGGGUAGGCAACAACUGAUGCAGUUGUAGCAUUGGGACCAGAAUCUAGCCUCCCAAUCUUAGAGUAGUGUUUCUAUGAUGUAUGGGCAGUAGAACAUUUCAGCAAACAUUGGCAUAAAUUGGUCUAUUAGUGAGAUUAAUUUGGCAGUGAUACUCAGCAUGUUUUACAGUGGCAAUGUAAUGGCAUGAUUUUAAGGGAGCCUGAUUUAUAGCAGAUUUGGCUGUGAAACUAUGCAGUGGAAUUUUGAAGUAGAACCGGUUCUGUUGCUUAAUGGAGUUGUUGCUUCAGCAUUUUUAAGCUGCAGAUUUUUCUCAUUUACAAUAUAGAGGCAAUUGGAUAAUAUAAUCUCUUAGGACUCAAGUCUAAUUCUAAUAUACUAUGAUAUUUUUGAAUGGAUUGAAAAAUAAAUAGUAAAAUUCAGGGGUCAUGUUCUGGAUGACAAUUCGAGAGUUAUUGAUUUGAAAGUGGUUGUUGGAGUUGUGCCAAAGGAUGAGCUAUAUAUAUAAGACUGAGUAGGUCUGAGUGGUAAAUAUUUCUAUAUGAAUUGGCAGACAUGCAGGGGGUCAUGUUUGCUCUUGUUUACCUUUAUCCAAUUUGUACUUACAUUCUGUUGGUUUUACUUUAUCACCCCCCCAAAACCUUCCUCUUCUUCUUUGACACUGCUGCUGCUUUGCCUGGGACAGUCAUUAACUGUCUCUCUUUUUUUUUAAUAAUAAAAAUUUAUUAUUAAUAUGUUAAAUUAAUAUUUCACAAUAGAAAAAUUAUGUGAAUACAGUGACAUAGAAAUUUCUGGGACUUAGAAGUAAGAAAAAUAGUGAUCAAAAGUUUUUCCUGCUGUUUUUGGAGAGACACUUCCUGUCCUACCUAGGGAUCACAGCUGAGUAAGCAAGCAUUAGGACUGCAAGUGACUUUGAACUCUUUGUAGUUGAGAUGCCAUGUGACUUCCCAAUUUCUGUGGCCUUUUCAUUGACACAUUAUGUGUCUAACCAUUUUUUUUUUUUUUCUGAGUCAAAAACUAGGACCCAUAUUCUGAUAAAAGAAAAACAAAAAACAACUUAACCACUUUGUUGUUCUUUUGUCAGUCAUUAUCUGUCUCUUAUCUGGUCUCCCUAACGAACUUAUCCUCUUCUGAUACUGCCCUUUUUCUUUCUGAUGCACAAAUCUAAUCAUACUUUCUUAUUAACCUUAGAAUAAAGUUCUUAGCAUAAACUCUUUAGCGUGACAAUCAGGAUCUUUCCUCAGGUAGCCCUUGCUGUGUCUUCAGUUGCAUCCUUGAUUAUUCUCUGUUGUUCCCUAUCUUCUAGUCAUAUGAGAGCACUCAGUAUCAUAUCACUGCUUUGUUGUUUUUUAUUUUUUUGCUUUUGCUCUGCCUUGACUCUCUUUUCCCUGCUUUGCUAACUCCUGCUCUCGCUGCAACACCACUUUCACGGUAGUAUCUUCACUGCCUCCUUGCGUCUUUCCCCUUCGUAGUAGCUCAGUCCUUUGUAUGGCCGCAAUAUAGAUAUGUCUUUUUUAGCACUUCACAAAUCUGUAAACAUUUGCUUCAAUACAUUUCCGUGACAGUAAACUCCUUGAUAGGAGGGACUAUGUCUUAACUAUGGACUGGAACUCUUAGCACAGUACCCGAUGUAUGUGCAACCUGGUAAAUGUUCAGAUCAAUCAUCCUUUCCACACAUAUGUUAACACCUCUCAGAACAAAUAGUCAGAAAUGGUACACUAAAUGUUUUACUCAUAUUUAUUAGUAUGACGAUUACUAUCCCAAAUUUAAACUUGAAUGUGUAACUGGAAGUUCUUGAGAACUGGUUGACUUUGCUACUGGCUUGUAAAUCUCUUUUCAGCUUUUUUAGUUUGCUUAUAAGUGUUCUUAAAGAUUACGUUUUGAAAAUCAGCAUUGAAAUUUUUGGCUUUUAAAUGUUAUUAGAAGGAAAGAAUGUGGUCUGACAAAUGAAUGUGAGCAUUUUCCCCUUUAUAGCUCUUCCCUCUACCCGCUGGUAUGGUUAUAGUAUGAAUGAAACAUCAAAAGAACGCAAUGGUGUAAUUUAAUCAAAGUACUCAAUUUACAUGUAGCUUUGGAUUGGUCAUGUGAUCUGCAGAAAAUUCAAGUAGGGACAUUUAUUUCAUAUUGAGCUUUAGAGGGAAAGCAGGUUUAUAUACAGAAGAAAAAUUAUUUGCAAUCUUGCUCUCUAAUGGUUGUUGAAAUUCAUAACCAGUCAACCCUUCUGUUCCCUUUACAUUGAAAUCUUAAAUAGUGUUUGUUUUAAAUGCUAUGCAAAAUUCUUCUAUUAAAAACAUAUUGGAACAUUCACAGGUGAAAAGUAUAAUUAUUUAAUGGCAGGUCAUUAGCUCAGAACUUUGAGCUUAGCAAAUUUCACUGUCUUCUGCCAACCAAUUGAAUAUCUCAAAUGAUGACUAUUUCAGCAGGCAUCUUUAAUGAAUGAGAUUAAAGAUUAAAAAAUGAAGCUCCCACUAAGGAACAAGAACCUGUGUCUGAG
Hippopotamus amphibius kiboko is the source of this 13941-nucleotide RNA transcript. It is a transcript of the gene named zinc finger protein 280D, with no coding region annotated. The transcript is spliced from 20 exons. The record is from RefSeq and is a predicted model, not a curated record. NCBI's taxonomy places the organism in Eukaryota, Metazoa, Chordata, Mammalia, Artiodactyla, Hippopotamidae.